UACGGGGGGGGUAAGCGUUGUUCGGAAUUACUGGGCGUAAAGGGCUCGUAGGCGGCCAACUAAGUCGGACGUGAAAUCCCUCAGCUUAACUGGGGAACUGCGUCCGAUACUGGAUGGCUUGGAUUUGGGAGAGGGAUGCGGAAUUCCAGGUGUAGCGGUGAAAUGCGUAGAUAUCUGGAGGAACACCGGUGGCGAAGGCGGAUCUCUGGGCCAUUACUGACGCUGAGGAGCGAAAGCGUGGGGAGCGAACAGG
This 253-nucleotide ribosomal RNA is filed under the name uncultured bacterium. RNAcentral describes it as "partial 16S ribosomal RNA". It matches the Rfam family "Bacterial small subunit ribosomal RNA", at positions 524 to 776 of the family's 1533-position model. The record is from RNAcentral.